This is a long non-coding RNA of Amblyraja radiata (thorny skate), 217 nucleotides long. RefSeq lists it as uncharacterized. The record is from RefSeq and is a predicted model, not a curated record. Lineage: Eukaryota; Metazoa; Chordata; Chondrichthyes; Rajiformes; Rajidae. The transcript has 3 exons.
GUUUGAGCCUUUGGAUCGGGAAGAUUGUAGGUGUGGCUUGAUGGUGGUGGUAAAGAAUGAUACACAUUUGGUUCCUGAGAGUGCCCUUUGUUGUGUUACUCCUUACGGUGAUGGGUGGAGUUCCAAUAGAUUCUCAGGAAACUCAGAGCAAUCGGUUCAAGCAAAAUGCUACACUGGACGCGAUCAAAAGAGUGGACAGAGUGAAUAAGGAGACAAG